Taeniopygia guttata (zebra finch) is the source of this 4316-nucleotide long non-coding RNA. The record is from Ensembl. Lineage: Eukaryota; Metazoa; Chordata; Aves; Passeriformes; Estrildidae.
AAGUAAUAUGGCAAUAAUUGAGUGACUGUGAGGGGUACAAAGUCAGAGCAUGAACCAGGAAUGAGCUGAGCCUUUGAGAAAUGCCUCCCCAGGCUGUUUGUUCCCUGCCAGGGGCUGGCAGCAGGCCAGGCCUUUGCUUUGGAGAAUAAUCCGCUGGCUUUAGGGCUUCCCAGCACUCCUUGGGAGUGAAAAACAAGUGUGACUGCUCAGGGCCUCGUGGGUGUGUGGGCAUGGGUGGGUGACCAGGACAGGCUCAGGACUUCAUUCCCUGCCUGUUCCAGCCCAGCUGGGGGGCUGGGAGGGAGUGGUGGCACAGCUGUCCCCUUCCUCCUCGCUGGGUGCUGGGCACCCCCUGGCCCAUCAGCAUCCCUGGUAACGCCUCCUUCUUCCCACUUCAUCACCCAUUGCUGGGCAGGAAUCCCCCUCCCUUCCACACAGGACUUGGAUCUGGGGAUGUCCUGCUCAGUGCCACCCCAGGGGUGACAAGAAAACACGUGUGUGCCCAGGAGAUCAGUGUGCUCCUGCCACCAGCUCUGCCUCGGUCCCCAGCAGGGAGCAGCAGAAAAAUCUGAAUUGCUCUGCUGAGAAAUUAAUCUUCUUUCCCUGUCUUAACUCAGCCUGACCUAGAUGAGCCACUGCCCCCCCCUCGGGUGGUUUUUUUUGUUCCUCUGUGGGGUGUUUAAAGGGAAAAUUACGGCAAAUGUAUUGCAAAGAAGCUGUGGGAGACAGGGGCCAGACCUCCAGCAGGACAAAGUGGUUUUAGACAGGAUUUUCCAGGCUGCCCUCUCCUGAGACCCUCUGAUCUGGGGUGGUGGGCAGGGAAAAUUUAAUCUACCCAAGCAUGGGCAGUAGAACAGAAAUAGUAAAAGGUCAAGAGCUGUGUUGGGUUCCUGCUGGCAGGGUGCAAAGUCAGGGGGACUUUUAGCUGGAGAGAAGUAAAAGUGGAGCUGCUGGAGACAGAAAUGGCAAUGGGAACAAAGCAGCUGCAGUGCUUGUGCCCUCCCUUGGUGGUUGUGGUCCUGGGGUGGUGACAGGGACUGGGGCUGGCUGGAAGGACAGCACUGACCACCAGGACAGCAAAGGAGGUGAAAUAUGCCUCUCCCAGAACCUGCUCCUGCCUCACACCAAACCUUCCACUGCCCUGUGCUGCAUCCCUUUCCCUCUGUCCCUUCAUGCCCAGGGAUGAAGCCUGGAUGGCUCAAAUGCCAUCCUUGGCUUUGUGGGCGAGGGAAGCCAGACACCCCAACACCAAAAUGAUCCUGACAAAAUGCUGAAGCUCACAUCCUGGGGGUUACAUCCAAGGAAAGGCUUUAUCUACCUUUAAAACUCAUCAGCUGCCCUGUGAAGGACUCUGCUCCUGGGCUGAAGGGCCAGGGUUAGGGUUAACCCUGCUCCCUCCCUGCCUCAGCUUCCCUUUUGUAAAGUUGGGGGAGAUAGAAAUGAAAAAAAACUCAGUCUCCUCUUAUGCCUGAGGACUUCCUUGUGGUUGUGUUGUGGGGUUGGUUCCUGUUCCACAAGUCUUGGAGGAGAGCAGGGAGGCCAGGCAGUUGUUCUGGUGCUCAUCCAUGUGUCUCUGUAUGUCUGUCUGCCUGUCCCUCCUUGUCAGAGUGCAGCACCUGUGGCUGUCCCACCCCUUCGGAAAAGGGGUCUUGAGUCCAGAACCACCCCCAGCCAGGGUCUGUGCACUGGGAGAGGAGCAAUGCUGGGAGCCAAAGGGUUCUGAGGCAGUUUUUGGGCAGCAGCCCUCGUUUUGGAGGCUCAGCCCUGUGUGUCAGGGCAGGAGGUGCAGGCAGUGUGAGCAGCAGGGAUUAUGGCUGCUAUAAAAAGCACCAGCAUCUCUCCUCUCUGCUCCCUAAGGCGCUUAGGCAGGAAGGAGGGAAUUAAAGAGUAACCUCUGGCACUGAAGAGUGCAGGGAUGGGAGCAGUCAGAAUAGCCUGACACACUCAUGAGACCCCCUUCCUCCUCAGCAUCCCCAAAAAUCCUCCCUGGGGCAAAGAAGCCCCUUCAUGCUCUUUCUGGGUCCCUGCUGUUGGGUCACCAGAAACUUGUCUCCUGCUCAGUGGUUGUGGGGGGCAAGGAGAAGGCUGAGGAGGACAGCUGAGCCUGGAGAGGGGGUCCUGGUGGGAGAGAAGAGCACAUGAGGAUGCUGUACCAUUUGCACGCCCCAAACAAAAAUGUGGAGCACUCCCCCAUCCUCACAGCCUCACUCGUCUGCCUGGUCCUGUCCUGCUACUCUGAGGGUACUGGUGAUGUCCUCCAAAAUGCAGUCAGCUGCAUGGGUGCAUGGCUGGACAGAAGAACACAGAGGCCUUGGAGGGACAGGGGUUGUUGCAGCCAAAAGCCACACUCUGCCCCACUUCCAGUGCUGGAGGCAAAAUGACUCCGGGGUCUUGGGACUCUCUGCCAGGCUCACAGUCAGUCUCAGAGCUCAGCACUAGUGUGGGCUCUGGCGACAUGUCUGGGGACAAAGCAGGGGGAAGGCAGGUGCCAGAUGAUGGCAAUGGUGCAGGGAUGGGGGGAUGUGAAGGAAGGUGGUGUGGGGAACAGCUGUCCUCUGUGGUUCCAAAAGCAGCCACGGGGUCCUGCCGAGCGGGACCUGGCACUGCCCGGCUGCGGGAGGUGGUCGGUGUUUCCCCUCAGCGCGGACACUGCCGGAACAUCCCCAGAGCUCGGUCAUGCUGGGGAUGGAACAGCAGCAGGAUCCGUCCCGGCAGCUGAGGGGUUUCACAGGGCCCUGCCGAGCGGCGGAGCGGCCCCGCCGGCCACAGGAGGGAGCCGGCCUCCUUCCCUCCGCUCCGCCCGGAGCACGGCGGCCUCGGGGAUCGGCCCUGCUUGGUGCAGGAGCAUCGCCUGGGUCAGACCGGGUCAUUGGGACCCCAAACCUCCCAGGAAGGCAGCGAGAGCCCGGCUGGAGCGGAGGGGGCCGCCCCCAUGCUCAGGAAGGCUGCACCUCAUUCCCAGCAGCGGAUGGGUGAUGGGGCUGCGGUGCGGAUGAGCCGCUGGGCUUUUGCUGCAGCCAUGGGGGGACCAGUUGUGCCCAGGGAGUGGCAUGUCCCCAUGGCAGGGACCAGCCCGAGACCACACUGAGACCAGUGUGUCGUUGUCUCUCGUGGGCGGUGGUCAGAGGUACCAGGGUGACCCCGAUGCCCAGCCUGCUGAUGCUGAGAGAGCAGGGGAGCGAGCAAACCAGCCCCUCCCUGUACAACCUGCUGCCCCAGGAAUCUGGACCUUCCCAGUUCCCCAGCCCACUGCCAGCUCUGGUGCUGCAACCUUAUUCCCAGGGGCUGACAGUCACUGGUGGGAUCAUGCCCCAGCAUCCCCCUCCUGCUGUCCAGCUCUCCAUCCCUGUCCCGCUCCCCCCACAGCCCCAGCAGCACAGGGGAAGCCUGGCAGGUGCCAGAGCAGCCACGCUACACACCCAGGAUUGAAAAAAAAAACAGAGAAAAAUGACGGUGGCAUAACACUGUCUGAUUGGAAAUAGUUAAUUACGGGGGGAGGUCUGGGGUACUGUCCUCCGCCUUUGCUUGCUGAAAAGCCGACAAAGCCCCAGCGUGGGACUGCUGGUAAUGGCUCUCAUUAAAGCAGUUGGAGCAGGAGUUUGAAACCACAUCCAUUUUCCUUAACUGCUCUCAGAAGGGGAAAAUGCUGUUCUGGCCCCUGCUAUUUGUGGUGUGCUGGGUACUGCAGGCUGGGAAAAGGCAGGAUUUGCCUCCCUGAAUGCAGAGGCAGAAUUCUGGACCACGGCCUUUUCUCGGGACUGGCUCUGUGGCACAUCACCGUAACCUUUUUUAAGUCCAGGGAAGAUGUGGGGAGUAAAGGAAUCUUCAUAAGGGAGAGACACAAGGAAUGAGCUUGGUCCCAGUGCCUCCACUCUGCUACACAGAGAAAUUAUGGAUCCUGGUUUAAAAUCCUUAUUGGGAUAAGAGCUGAUCUUAAAACAGCAAUGAAGCCAUGAGGAUGCUCCUUUCCCCACAUGAUUAGGGAAUUUCCCCUGAGCCCCUUAAACAGAGAGGAGCAGGGAUCUGCCUGGAGUUACAAAUGGGAAAGGAUGUCUUUGGGCACAGAGAAGGGCAGUUUUGGUUGGUGGUGCUCUGGCUGGGAAGAGGAAGACAUCCAGGGAGAAGAGGGAGGUGUCCCUGCUCCAUCAAUGCACGAGGGGCUGACCCCAGUACAGAGGCAGCACCCCUUGGGGUGGCAGGAAGUUUGGGGGUGAUGUAGGAGGUGAUCAUGCUGGGAUGAAUCUGAAGGAUGCAGACAUACAAGGGCUAUUUUCCCUCAUGAAGAGUUUGGAUUUCAUACAGAUGAGUCCCUGUCC